This 372-nucleotide ribosomal RNA is filed under the name uncultured organism. Its description in RNAcentral is "bacterial SSU rRNA". It matches the Rfam family "Bacterial small subunit ribosomal RNA", at positions 526 to 896 of the family's 1533-position model. The record is from RNAcentral.
CGGAGGGUGCGAGCGUUGUCCGGAAUCAUUGGGCGUAAAGGGCGCGUAGGCGGCCUGAUAAGUAGGGGGUGAAAUCCUGCGGCUUAACCGCAGGGCUGCCUUCUAAACUGUCAGGCUGGAGCACAGUAGAGGCAGGUGGAAUUCCCGGUGUAGCGGUGGAAUGCGUAGAGAUCGGGAAGAACAUCAGUGGCGAAGGCGGCCUGCUGGGCUGUUGCUGACGCUGAGGCGCGACAGCGUGGGGAGCAAACAGGAUUAGAUACCCUGGUAGUCCACGCCGUAAACGAUGGGCACUAGGCGUCGGGGGGAGCGACCCUCCCGGUGCCGUCGCUAACGCAGUAAGUGCCCCGCCUGGGGAGUACGGCCGCAAGGCUG